RNAcentral lists this ribosomal RNA (403 nucleotides) under uncultured bacterium. Its description in RNAcentral is "partial 16S ribosomal RNA". It matches the Rfam family "Bacterial small subunit ribosomal RNA", at positions 28 to 526 of the family's 1533-position model. The record is from RNAcentral.
GACGAACGCUGGCGGCGUGCCUAAUACAUGCAAGUCGAACGCAGUGGGGACGGGAGAGUAACACGUGGGUAACCUCCCAUCAGAGGGGAUAACACUUGGAAACAGGUGCUAAACCGAUACUGAUGGAUGGACAAGCGGUGCAUUAGCUAGUUGGUGAUGUAACGGCUAACCAAGGCCACGAUGCGGAGCCGACCUGGAAGGGUGGUCGGCCACCCUGGCACUGCGCCACUGCCCAGACUCCUACGGGAGGCAGCAGUAGUGAAUCUUCGGCAAUGGACGAAAGUCUGACCGAGCCACGCCGCGUGAGUGAAGAAGGUUUUCGGAUCGUAAAACUCUGUUGUUAGAGAAGCGGUAUCUAACCAGAAAGCCACGGCUAACUACGUGCCAGCCGCCGCGGUAAUUC